Molecule: unclassified non-coding RNA, 297 nt
Filed under: Hevea brasiliensis (rubber tree)
Lineage: Eukaryota; Viridiplantae; Streptophyta; Magnoliopsida; Malpighiales; Euphorbiaceae
Source: RNAcentral
GCCGGUUAAUCCCAAGAUGAAGACUUCAAAUAUAGCUCAUGUUACUAGGACACCAGUUCCUAAGAAACCGAAGGCAAAAGAUCUCAAUAAGAGAGACAUGACGUAUGAGGAAAAGCAGAAGCUUAGCACUAAUCUUCAGAAUUUACCUUCAGAAAAGCUUGAUGCAAUUGUUCAGAUAAUUAAGAAGAGGAACACCGCACUUAGUCAAGACAACGAUGAGAUUGAAGUAGAUAUAGAUAGUGUUGAUGCAGAAACACUCUGGGAGCUUGAUAGAUUUGUAACAAAUUUCAAAAAGAG